ACAGAGGGUGCGAGCGUUGUCCGGAAUCACUGGGCGUAAAGGGCGCGUAGGCGGCUUCUCACGCGUGCGGUGAAAGCUCGGGGCUUAACUCCGAGUCUGCCGUGCGAACGGGGAGGCUUGAGUCUGGUAGAGGUCGAUGGAAUUCCGGGUGUAGCGGUGGAAUGCGUUGAUAUCGGAAGGAAUGCCGAAAGCGAAAGCAGCUAACUAUGAAUUACCUGACGGUGAGAGACGAAAGCUUGGGUAGCAAACGGGA
RNAcentral lists this ribosomal RNA (253 nucleotides) under uncultured prokaryote. RNAcentral describes it as "partial 16S ribosomal RNA". It matches the Rfam family "Bacterial small subunit ribosomal RNA", at positions 525 to 777 of the family's 1533-position model. The record is from RNAcentral.